This 756-nucleotide ribosomal RNA is filed under the name uncultured Stenotrophomonas bacterium. Its description in RNAcentral is "bacterial SSU rRNA". It matches the Rfam family "Bacterial small subunit ribosomal RNA", at positions 86 to 837 of the family's 1533-position model. The record is from RNAcentral. Lineage: Bacteria; Pseudomonadati; Pseudomonadota; Gammaproteobacteria; Lysobacterales; Lysobacteraceae.
GGGUGGCGAGUGGCGGACGGGUGAGGAAUACAUCGGAAUCUACUUUUUCGUGGGGGAUAACGUAGGGAAACUUACGCUAAUACCGCAUACGACCUACGGGUGAAAGCAGGGGAUCUUCGGACCUUGCGCGAUUGAAUGAGCCGAUGUCGGAUUAGCUAGUUGGCGGGGUAAAGGCCUACCAAGGCGACGAUCCGUAGCUGGUCUGAGAGGAUGAUCAGCCACACUGGAACUGAGACACGGUCCAGACUCCUACGGGAGGCAGCAGUGGGGAAUAUUGGACAAUGGGCGCAAGCCUGAUCCAGCCAUACCGCGUGGGUGAAGAAGGCCUUCGGGUUGUAAAGCCCUUUUGUUGGGAAAGAAAUCCAGCUGGCUAAUACCCGGUUGGGAUGACGGUACCCAAAGAAUAAGCACCGGCUAACUUCGUGCCAGCAGCCGCGGUAAUACGAAGGGUGCAAGCGUUACUCGGAAUUACUGGGCGUAAAGCGUGCGUAGGUGGUCGUUUAAGUCCGUUGUGAAAGCCCAGGGCUCAACCUGGGAACUGCAGUGGAUACUGGACGACUAGAGUGUGGUAGAGGGUAGCGGAAUUCCUGGUGUAGCAGUGAAAUGCGUAGAGAUCAGGAGGAACAUCCAUGGCGAAGGCAGCUACCUGGACCAACACUGACACUGAGGCGCGAAAGCGUGGGGAGCAAACAGGAUUAGAUANCCUGGUAGUCCACGCCCUAAACGAUGCGAACUGGAUGUUGGGUGCAAUUUGGC